AAAAAAAGUGAUUUUUAUUCAUUAUAUAUUUUUUAAAAACUAUCGUUCGAUCAAUCGGUUAUCGGAAUUUUAUUCGGCGCAGUAUCAGAAUUGAACAUCUUCCUCAAAAAAUCCAUGUCGGGCCCCACUGUUGACAUGAGAAACACACAAAAACAAAACAAACUAGUCCAACUACAAAUCUAAUCAAACAAUACAAAGCGUGAUGUAACGCACAGACAAAGAGGAACAAACACAGAGUGGCGGGCACGCGCACACGCUAAUCACACGCUGCGGCCACAAUAACGCUCACGAGCGGCACGUAAAGACCACAUGCAAACAAACAACAUCGUGUCGACGCGGCGGCGUGAUGUAACGCCGCGCAACAACACGCGUCGGUGGAGCCGCCAGCUUGUUUUGUCGCAGCGGGAAAAGUAGGACAGGAUGAGAUCAACGCAAUCUGACACAGAUGUGUGACAACGUCGUACACACGUUAAUCGGACGUCCCUGCCAUGUUGUGUGAGCAAUUCUUGUCAGUAAACGCAAUGAAACGGGACUAUUUUAAGCAAUUCUUGGCUUCAUUUGCCGGAAGACGGGAGCAAUCGUUUCAGGUAAAUGCUGCAAUAUUCCAUCAUCCGCAAUUCUCCUCAGAUAAUCCUUUAUCGUCUGGAAUUCCUCCACAAAUUAUCCUUUGAUUGAACAAUGACGAGAGCGGAGGAGGGAAUCUUGUUGUAGGUAUGCACUGCAGGUAAACCACAACAGCCCGAGGGCGCGUCAGAACGCCGUGAAUGGAAAAUGAGAGCAAAGAGGAGCCCCGAGACGGAGCCUUGAGGCACUCCAUCCUGGCGACACAGCAGGCAGCGGCUUCUCUUCAGCGCUUUUAAACGCCAUCAGCGAACGCCUUUGUUUGGCUGAGUGACGGCGAGCCCCGCUCCCCUAAAAUUUUAUCGGGGGAGUUGGCUCGGAGCGGAAUGUACAGUGGGAGCAGCUCGCAUUUCACGGCAGGGCGGGGAGCCCCGUGAACUCGGGAGUGGGUAUCCGGCUGGAGUGGGGGGCUGCAUAAGAGGGAAGGACAACCGAUGAUGUUUUACAGUCGGACGGUGCAAGGAUGACCAAAGUCCAUUUUCAAAUCAGCCAUCGGAGUCUCCACGGCGACGAUGCUGUGACGUUG
Long non-coding RNA from Hippocampus comes (tiger tail seahorse), 1147 nucleotides. RefSeq lists it as uncharacterized. The record is from RefSeq and is a predicted model, not a curated record. The transcript is spliced from 3 exons. Lineage: Eukaryota; Metazoa; Chordata; Actinopteri; Syngnathiformes; Syngnathidae.